AUUGAACGCUGGCGGCAGGCCUAACACAUGCAAGUCGAACGAGUGGCGGACGGGUGAGUAAUGUCUGGGAAACUGACUGAUGGAGGGGGAUAACUACUGGAAAAGGUAGCUAAUACCGCAUACCAUCGGAUGUGCCCAGAUGGGAUUAGCUAGUAGGUGGGGUAACGGCUCACCUCGGCGACGAUCCCUAGCUGGUCUGAGAGGAUGACCAGCCACACUGGAACUAGGACACGGUCCAGACUCCUACGGGAUGCAGCAGUGGGGAAGAUUGCACAAUGGGCGCAAGCCUGAUGCAGCCAUGCCGGGUGUAUGAAGAAGGCCUUCGGGUUGUAAAGUACUUUCAGCGGGGAGGCGUUACCCGCAGAAGAAGCACCGGCUAACUCCGUGUUAGCAGCCGCGGUAAUUC
RNAcentral lists this ribosomal RNA (406 nucleotides) under uncultured bacterium. Its description in RNAcentral is "partial 16S ribosomal RNA". It matches the Rfam family "Bacterial small subunit ribosomal RNA", at positions 30 to 526 of the family's 1533-position model. The record is from RNAcentral.